This 476-nucleotide ribosomal RNA is filed under the name Treponema denticola. Its description in RNAcentral is "bacterial SSU rRNA". It matches the Rfam family "Bacterial small subunit ribosomal RNA", at positions 9 to 472 of the family's 1533-position model. The record is from RNAcentral. Lineage: Bacteria; Pseudomonadati; Spirochaetota; Spirochaetia; Treponematales; Treponemataceae.
GAGUUUGAUCCUGGCUCAGAACGAACGCUGGCGGCGCGUCUUAAGCAUGCAAGUCGAACGGUAAGGGAGAGCUUGCUCUCCCCUAGAGUGGCGGACUGGUGAGUAACGCGUGGGUGACCUGCCCUGAAGAUGGGGAUAGCUAGUAGAAAUAUUAGAUAAUACCGAAUGUGCUCAUUUACAUAAAGGUAAAUGAGGAAAGGAGCUACGGCUCCGCUUCAGGAUGGGCCCGCGUCCCAUUAGCUAGUUGGUGAGGUAAAGGCCCACCAAGGCAACGAUGGGUAUCCGGCCUGAGAGGGUGAACGGACACAUUGGGACUGUGAUACGGCCCAAACUCCUACGGGAGGCAGCAGCUAAGAAUCUUCCGCAAUGGACGAAAGUCUGACGGAGCGACGCCGUGUGAAUGAAGAAGGCCGAAAGGUUGUAAAAUUCUUUUGCAGAUGAAGAAUAACCACAGGAGGGAAUGCCCUGUGAGAUGA